Molecule: non-coding RNA, 45 nt
Organism: Schistosoma rodhaini
Lineage: Eukaryota; Metazoa; Platyhelminthes; Trematoda; Strigeidida; Schistosomatidae
Source: Rfam
AUCCAGCUCACGAGUCGUAAAUAGGAUGAAACGCGCGUCCUGGAU